This 413-nucleotide ribosomal RNA is filed under the name uncultured bacterium. RNAcentral's name for it is "bacterial SSU rRNA". It matches the Rfam family "Bacterial small subunit ribosomal RNA", at positions 115 to 518 of the family's 1533-position model. The record is from RNAcentral.
ACGUGGGUGACAUACCCUCAGAUGGGGAUAGCUAUUAGAAUAGUAGAUAAUACCGAAUACGAGCACAGGGGUUAGAGAUCUGUGAGGAAAGGAGCUAAGGCUCCGCUGAAGGAAUGGCCUGCGGCCCAUUAGCUAGUUGGUGAGGUAAGAGCCCACCAAGGCGAUGAUGGGUAUCCGGCCUUAGAGGGUGAACGGACACAUUGGGACUGAGAUACGGCCCAGACUCCUGCGGGAGGCAGCAGCUAAGAAUAUUCCGCAAUGGACGAAAGUCUGACGGAGCGACGCCGCGUGGAUGAAGAAGGCCGGAAGGUUGUAAAAUCCUUUUGAAACUGAAGAAUAAGCGUUGUAGGGAAUGACAGCGUGGUGACAGUAGGUUUUGAAUAAGCAACGGCUAAUUACGUGCCAGCAGCCGC